Molecule: transfer RNA, 74 nt
Filed under: Arthrobacter sp.
Lineage: Bacteria; Bacillati; Actinomycetota; Actinomycetes; Micrococcales; Micrococcaceae
Description: tRNA-Gly
Rfam family: tRNA
About the family: Transfer RNA (tRNA) molecules are approximately 80 nucleotides in length. Their secondary structure includes four short double-helical elements and three loops (D, anti-codon, and T loops).
Source: RNAcentral
GGGGUAGUAGCUCAAUGGUAGAGCCUUAGUCUUCCAAACUAAUUACGCGGGUUCGAUUCCCGUCUACCCCUCCA